GACGGGGGCCCGCACAAGCAGUGGAGUAUGUGGUUUAAUUCGAAGCAACGCGAAGAACCUUACCAGGUCUUGACAUCCAACUAACGAAGUAGAGAUACAUCAGGUGCCCUUCGGGGAAAGUUGAGACAGGUGGUGCAUGGUUGUCGUCAGCUCGUGUCGUGAGAUGUUGGGUUAAGUCCCGCAACGAGCGCAACCCUUGCUAUUAGUUGCUACGCAAGAGCACUCUAAUAGGACUGCCGUUGACAAAACGGAGGAAGGUGGGGACGACGUCAAAUCAUCAUGCCCCUUAUGACCUGGGCUACACACGUACUACAAUGGCCGUCAACAGAGGGAAGCAAAACAGCGAUGUGGAGCAAACCCCUAAAAACGGUCCCAGUUCAGAUUGCAGGCUGCAACCCGCCUGCAUGAAGUCGGAAUUGCUAGUAAUCGCGGAUCAGCAUGCCGCGGUGAAUACGUUCCCGGGCCUUGUACACACCGCCCGUCACACCAUGGGAGCCGGUAAUACCCGAAGUCAGUAGCCUAACGCAAGAGGGCGCUGCCGAAGGUAGGAUUGGCGACUGGGGUGAAGUCGUAACAAGGUAG
This 582-nucleotide ribosomal RNA is filed under the name uncultured bacterium. Its description in RNAcentral is "bacterial SSU rRNA". It matches the Rfam family "Bacterial small subunit ribosomal RNA", at positions 912 to 1499 of the family's 1533-position model. The record is from RNAcentral.